GACGAACGCUGGCGGCGUGCUUAACACAUGCAAGUCGAACGGAAAGGCCCUGCUUUUGUGGGGUGCUCGAGUGGCGAACGGGUGUGUAACACGUGAGUAACCUGCCCUUGACUUUGGGAUAACUUCAGGAAACUGGGGCUAAUACCGGAUAGGAGCUCCUGCUGCAUGGUGGGGGUUGGAAAGUUUCGGCGGUUGGGGAUGGACUCGCGGCGUAUCAGCUUGUUGGUGGGGUAGUGGCUUACCAAGGCUUUGACGGGUAGCCGGCCUGAGAGGGUGACCGGCCACAUUGGGACUGAGAUACGGCCCAGACUCCUACGGGAGGCAGCAGUGGGGAAUAUUGCACAAUGGGCGGAAGCCUGAUGCAGCAACGCCGCGUGCGGGAUGACGGCCUUCGGGUUGUAAACCGCUUUCGCCUGUGACGAAGCGUGAGUGACGGUAAUGGGUAAAGAAGCACCGGCUAACUACGUG
This 468-nucleotide ribosomal RNA is filed under the name uncultured bacterium. RNAcentral's name for it is "partial 16S ribosomal RNA". It matches the Rfam family "Bacterial small subunit ribosomal RNA", at positions 28 to 507 of the family's 1533-position model. The record is from RNAcentral.